RNAcentral lists this long non-coding RNA (475 nucleotides) under Phoenix dactylifera (date palm). Its description in RNAcentral is "long non-coding RNA (PDAC_LNC022305)". Lineage: Eukaryota; Viridiplantae; Streptophyta; Magnoliopsida; Arecales; Arecaceae. The record is from RNAcentral.
GUAGACUUGGUUGACCAUCUCACAGGUGAGGGAUUUCUUACAACUUGCCUAUGCGAAGUAUUUUGAGAUAGCAGGAUUAUUUGAGUUAGAUUGACUUCCUUUUUUUGUUUUGUCUUUAAAGUUACCACACUUGAGCUAAUUAAUCCGAGGAUUCAAACUCUCAAUCCGGUGGGAGGUACUAUAUGGGAUUCCGUUCAUUUCUUAAAGCACAACUAAAUGUGUGUUUCUAGACUCUGUACGUGAUUGCCAAAAACAAACGCAUCUGGAAAUUUACUUACUUAGGGUUUUCCUAGUUACAGAAAUAUUCUAUGCUGUGGUUUUUAUUUUUCUGGGUACAUAAUCAGGAGCGGCCCAAUGUAUUUGGGGGCCUAAGGCCAUUUUGUCUUUGAGGCCUUUUCUACAGUGGGCCGGCCUAAGGCGAAUUCACAAGGGGCCUUUUUUUUCAUUUUAUCUUUGAGGCAUUUUCUACGGUGGG